UCCAGAGUUUGUGUCGCAGCGUUUUCUCUCCGUGUGAAGGUCCAGCUGAAGAUAUUGGAACACCCCUUAAGAUGGCUGUGGGUAUGUGCUGAGGGGAAGUGAAAGAGAUGUUGAACCACUAAUGUAACGCAGCGCCAGGCUCAUGAGAAAAGGGAGGAAACCCUGGAAGUGAAAGAGUUCAGUCAGUUGAGACUCCAUUUUGAGUGGAGAGAACAGAGCAGGAGGAGGACACUGAAGGCUGAGGCAGGACUGACUUCAGAUCAGAAGAUGAGUGGUUUGGAGGAAGAGGAGGACGGAGCAGAGUCUGUAGUAUCUGGCUGUCUGUCUAUGAAGAGUGACCG
RNAcentral lists this long non-coding RNA (341 nucleotides) under Sander lucioperca (pikeperch). RNAcentral's name for it is "lncRNA (ENSSLUG00000004488.1)". Lineage: Eukaryota; Metazoa; Chordata; Actinopteri; Perciformes; Percidae. The record is from RNAcentral.